ACACAAGCAACUUUACUCUCCCUGCUCAUCACUUACCACCAAAAUAAAAUAUGACCAAAACAUUACUUCUAUGGAUUUUUUUAUUGAUCAGCAUCCUCAUGUUUUCAACUACUGGGAGCACAUUUACUACAAAAAUUGAAGAUCUUGGGACUUCCAGGCAACAAAAGGAAACCAAAACCAUGUACGGUGUGAUCAUGGAAUCAAGCAAACCAAACACUCAAAGAAGAACAAAUCUAGGAUUGCAUGUUGUUCAACACACAAAGGUGUCACAGAAAGCAAAGACAAAUGGUGGAGGGAAUAACGUAAAGGAUCAUAAGGGGAAGAAUAGUGCAAGCACCUAUUCAAUCAACAAAUCUUCAUCCUUGUUCAUUCCCGUGAUGCUUUUGUUUGGUUACUUGUUUUGAAUUCCAAGGCUUAAAUUUAUUUACAGUGAAGGCACAACUAGUGAUGCUUAAUAACAUGAUGCCGCUAGUGGUACUUUGGAUUUGUAUCAUACAUGCAGACGUUCCUUCUUAGUUUGUGUAUUGUAACAUGUUCUCUGUGGGCUUAAUUCAGUAAGUCUCCUCUUAAAGGAUUUGUGGGUAUAUUUUGAAUGCUUGAUGAUGAAAUUGUGUGUGAAACUAAUGAAAAUAAAGUUUUACCGAACAA
Glycine soja is the source of this 648-nucleotide long non-coding RNA. RefSeq lists it as uncharacterized. Lineage: Eukaryota; Viridiplantae; Streptophyta; Magnoliopsida; Fabales; Fabaceae. The record is from RefSeq and is a predicted model, not a curated record. The transcript is spliced from 2 exons.